This 409-nucleotide ribosomal RNA is filed under the name uncultured bacterium. RNAcentral's name for it is "bacterial SSU rRNA". It matches the Rfam family "Bacterial small subunit ribosomal RNA", at positions 509 to 916 of the family's 1533-position model. The record is from RNAcentral.
CAGCAGCCGCGGUAAUACGUAGGGUGCAAGCGUUAAUCGGAAUUAUUGGGCGUAAAGGGCGCGUAGGCGGUUUUUUAAGUCAGAUGUGAAAUCCCCGAGCUCAACUUGGGAACUGCAUCUGAGACCGGAAGGCUAGAGUACUGGAGAGGGUGGUGGAAUUCCUCGUGUAGCGGUGAAAUGCGUAGAGAUGAGGAGGAACACCGGUGGCGAAGGCGGCCACCUGGACAGGUACUGACGCUGAGGUACGAAAGCGUGGGGAGCAAACAGGAUUAGAUACCCUGGUAGUCCACGCCGUAAACGAUGUCAACUAGGUGUUGGGACGGUUAAUCGUCUCAUUGCCGCAGCUAACGCAUUAAGUUGACCGCCUGGGGAGUACGGUCGCAAGAUUAAAACUCAAAGGAAUUGACGG